UACGUAGGGUCCGAGCGUUACUCGGAAUUACUGGGCGUAAAGGGCGCGUAGGCGGCCCACUAAGUCAGACGUGAAAUCCCCCGGCUUAACCUGGGAACUGCGUCUGAUACUGGAGGGCUUGAGUAUGGGAGAGGGAUGUAGAAUUCCAGGUGUAGCGGUGAAAUGCGUAGAUAUCGAGAGGAACACCAGUGGCGAAGGCGAGUCCCUGGACAGAUCCUGACGCUGAGGCACGAAAGCUAGGGGAGCAAACAGG
This 253-nucleotide ribosomal RNA is filed under the name uncultured bacterium. RNAcentral's name for it is "partial 16S ribosomal RNA". It matches the Rfam family "Bacterial small subunit ribosomal RNA", at positions 524 to 776 of the family's 1533-position model. The record is from RNAcentral.